UGGCCCUGGCGGCGUGCCUAAUACAUGCAAGUCGAGCGGACCGACGGGAGCUUGCUCCCUUAGGUCAGCGGCGGACGGGUGAGUAACACGUGGGUAACCUGCCUGUAAGACUGGGAUAACUCCGGGAAACCGGGGCUAAUACCGGAUGCUUGAUUGAACCGCAUGGUUCAAUCAUAAAAGGUGGCUUUUAGCUACCACUUACAGAUGGACCCGCGGCGCAUUAGCUAGUUGGUGAGGUAACGGCUCACCAAGGCGACGAUGCGUAGCCGACCUGAGAGGGUGAUCGGCCACACUGGGACUGAGACACGGCCCAGACUCCUACGGGAGGCAGCAGUAGGGAAUCUUCCGCAAUGGACGAAAGUCUGACGGAGCAACGCCGCGUGAGUGAUGAAGGUUUUCGGAUCGUAAAACUCUGUUGUUAGGGAAGAACAAGUACCGUUCGAAUAGGGCGGCACCUUGACGGUACCUAACCAGAAAGCCACGGCUAACUACGUGCCAGCCGCCGCGUUAAAAUACCUG
This 519-nucleotide ribosomal RNA is filed under the name Bacillus licheniformis. RNAcentral's name for it is "bacterial SSU rRNA". It matches the Rfam family "Bacterial small subunit ribosomal RNA", at positions 36 to 529 of the family's 1533-position model. Lineage: Bacteria; Bacillati; Bacillota; Bacilli; Caryophanales; Bacillaceae. The record is from RNAcentral.